Molecule: small nuclear RNA, 108 nt
Organism: Colobus angolensis palliatus
Lineage: Eukaryota; Metazoa; Chordata; Mammalia; Primates; Cercopithecidae
Source: Ensembl
UUACUAGGACCAGAAUAAAGACGCUCAAAACUGAGAAAGAAAAACAGCAGUCUUGCAUGGCCCCUGCGCAAGGAUGACACGCAAAUUCGUGAAGCGUUCCAUAUUUAA